CGCCUGGGGAGUACGGGUGAGGUAACGGCUCACCAAGGCAUUGACGGGUAGCUGGUCUGAGAGGAUGAUCAGCCACACUGGGACUGAGACACGGCCCAGACUCCUACGGGAGGCAGCAGUGGGGAAUAUUGCACAAUGGGCGAAAGCCUGAUGCAGCAACGCCGCGUGCGGGAAGACGGCCCUAGGGUUGUAAACCGCUUUCAGCAGGGAAGAAAAUGACGGUACCUGUAGAAGAAGGUGCGGCCAACUACGUGCCAGCAGCCGCGGUGACACGUAGGCACCAAGCGUUGUCCGGAUUUAUUGGGCGUAAAGAGCUCGUAGGCGGUUCAGUAAGUCGGGUGUGAAAACUCUGGGCUCAACCCAGAGACGCCACCCGAUACUGCUGUGACUAGAGUGCGGUAGGGGAGCGGGGAAUUCCUAGUGUAGCGGUGAAAUGCGCAGAUAUUAGGAGGAACACCAGUGGCGAAGGCGCCGCUCUGGGCCGUAACUGACGCUGAGGAGCGAAAGCGUGGGUAGCAAACAGGAUUAGAUACCCUGGUAGUCCACGCCGUAAACGUUGGGCACUAGGUGUGGGUCCCAUCCAACGGGAUCCGCGCCGCAGCUAACGCAUUAAGUGCCCCGCCUGGGGAGUACGG
This 635-nucleotide ribosomal RNA is filed under the name uncultured Actinomycetes bacterium. RNAcentral describes it as "bacterial SSU rRNA". It matches the Rfam family "Bacterial small subunit ribosomal RNA", at positions 234 to 885 of the family's 1533-position model. The record is from RNAcentral. Lineage: Bacteria; Bacillati; Actinomycetota; Actinomycetes.